RNAcentral lists this unclassified non-coding RNA (479 nucleotides) under Hevea brasiliensis (rubber tree). The record is from RNAcentral. Lineage: Eukaryota; Viridiplantae; Streptophyta; Magnoliopsida; Malpighiales; Euphorbiaceae.
GUUUAGGGUACCGGUUCGAGCUGAUUCCGGAUACAAACGGUGGGAUGAGCGCGGCGGGGAUUGUACUGGCGGAGUCGGCUCUGAACAUAAAUAAAGGCGGGAAGUUCGUGAUCGACUUGGGUGGAAGCUCGAACGGGAGGUCGACGCCGGUGAACACAACGUCGCCGGCGUGCAGCCCGAGAAGCAGUGGAGACUAUGGCUAUGGGCUGUGGCCUUACUGCGUGUAUAGAGGGUUUGUGAUGGGGGCUAGCGUGGAAGGGGAAGGGAAAUGCAGUAAGCCAAGAGUGGAAGUUAGUGUGCAGCACGUGAACUGCACGGAAGACGCGGCCGCAUUCGUGGCACUAGCAGCGGCCAUCGAUCUUAGCAUGGACGCUUGCAGGCUUUUCUCACACAGACUCAGGAAGGAACUAUGUCAGCCAUUGGAUCUUCUUGCUUGAGAUUCCAUCUCAUCUUUCUCAAGCAAACAAACAGAACAAAAC